Molecule: transfer RNA, 82 nt
Filed under: Rhizoctonia solani AG-1 IB
Lineage: Eukaryota; Fungi; Basidiomycota; Agaricomycetes; Cantharellales; Ceratobasidiaceae
Description: tRNA-Pro
Source: RNAcentral
GACGGCUUAGCAAAGUGGUUACUGUGAUUCAUUAGGGAUCAAUUCCUCUUUGAGGGCGUAUGCUCCAGUCCUACAGUCGUCG